GUCUUCGAGUCGUUGAUUUCACACUGCCGAGAAAAGCCUCUAGAUAGAAAAUAGGUGCCCGUACCGCAAACCGACACAGGUAGUCAAGAUGAGAAUUCUAAGGUGAGCGAGCGAACUCUCGUUAAGGAACUCGGCAAAAUGACCCCGUAACUUCGGGAGAAGGGGUGCUCUUUAGGGUUAACGCCCAGAAGAGCCGCAGUGAAUAGGCCCAAGCGACUGUUUAUCAAAAACACAGGUCUCUGCUAAACCGUAAGGUGAUGUAUAGGGGCUGACGCCUGCCCGGUGCUGGAAGGUUAAGAGGAGUGGUUAGCUUCUGCGAAGCUACGAAUCGAAGCCCCAGUAAACGGCGGCCGUAACUAUAACGGUCCUAAGGUAGCGAAAUUCCUUGUCGGGUAAGUUCCGACCCGCACGAAAGGCGUAACGAUUUGGGCACUGUCUCAACGAGAGACUCGGUGAAAUCAUAGUACCUGUGAAGAUGCAGGUUACCCGCGACAGGACGGAAAGACCCCGUGGAGCUUUACUGUAGCCUGAUAUUGAAAUUCGGCACAGCUUGUACAGGAUAGGUAGGAGCCUUUGAAACGUGAGCGCUAGCUUACGUGGAGGCGCUGGUGGGAUACUACCCUAGCUGUGUUGGCUUUCUAACCCGCACCACUUAUCGUGGUGGGAGACAGUGUCAGGCGGGCAGUUUGACUGGGGCGGUCGCCUCCUAAAAGGUAACGGAGGCGCUCAAAGGUUCCCUCAGAAUGGUUGGAAAUCAUUCAUAGAGUGUAAAGGCAUAAGGGAGCUUGACUGCGAGACCUACAAGUCGAGCAGGGUCGAAAGACGGACUUAGUGAUCCGGUGGUUCCGCAUGGAAGGGCCAUCGCUCAACGGAUAAAAGCUACCCCGGGGAUAACAGGCUUAUCUCCCCCAAGAGUUCACAUCGACGGGGAGGUUUGGCACCUCGAUGUCGGCUCAUCGCAUCCUGGGGCUGUAGUCGGUCCCAAGGGUUGGGCUGUUCGCCCAUUAAAGCGGUACGCGAGCUGGGUUCAGAACGUCGUGAGACAGUUCGGUCCCUAUCCGUCGUGGGCGUAGGAAAUUUGAGAGGAGCUGUCCUUAGUACGAGAGGACCGGGAUGGACAUACCUCUGGUGUACCAGUUGUCGUGCCAACGGCAUAGCUGGGUAGCUAUGUGUGGACGGGAUAAGUGCUGAAAGCAUCUAAGCAUGAAGCCCCCCUCAAGAUGAGAUUUCCCAACUUCGGUUAUAAGAUCCCUCAAAGAUGAUGAGGUUAAUAGGUUCGAGGUGGAAGCAUGGUGACAUGUGGAGCUGACGAAUACUAAUCGAUCGAAGACU
This 1332-nucleotide ribosomal RNA is filed under the name Staphylococcus aureus. Its description in RNAcentral is "partial 23S ribosomal RNA". It matches the Rfam family "Bacterial large subunit ribosomal RNA", at positions 1582 to 2925 of the family's 2925-position model. The record is from RNAcentral. Lineage: Bacteria; Bacillati; Bacillota; Bacilli; Caryophanales; Staphylococcaceae.